RNAcentral lists this ribosomal RNA (460 nucleotides) under uncultured bacterium. RNAcentral describes it as "partial 16S ribosomal RNA". It matches the Rfam family "Bacterial small subunit ribosomal RNA", at positions 338 to 795 of the family's 1533-position model. The record is from RNAcentral.
CCUACGGGAGGCAGCAGUGAGGAAUAUUGGUCAAUGGACGAGAGUCUGAACCAGCCAAGUCGCGUGAAGGAUGACUGCCCUCUGGGUUGUAAACUUCUUUUAUAAAGGCAUAAAACGAGACACGUGUGCCUUUUUGCAUGUACUUUAUGAAUAAGGCUCGGCGCACUCCGUGCCAGCAGCCGCGGUAAUACGGAGGAUCCGAGCGUUAUCCGGAUUUCGUGGGUUUAAAGGGAGCGUAGAUGGGUUGUUAAGUCAGUUGUGAAAGUGUGGGGCUCAACCGUAAAAUUGCACUUGAGACUGGCAGUCUUGAGUACAGUUGAGGUAGGCGGAAUUCGUGGUGUAGCGGUGAAAUGCUUAGAUAUCACGAAGAACCCCGAUUGCGAAGGCAGCUUACUAAACUGUGACUGACACUGAUGCUCGAAAGUGUGGGGAUCAAACAGGAUUAGAUACCCUUGUAGUC